This 1205-nucleotide ribosomal RNA is filed under the name uncultured Synechococcus sp. Its description in RNAcentral is "bacterial SSU rRNA". It matches the Rfam family "Bacterial small subunit ribosomal RNA", at positions 253 to 1501 of the family's 1533-position model. Lineage: Bacteria; Bacillati; Cyanobacteriota; Cyanophyceae; Synechococcales; Synechococcaceae. The record is from RNAcentral.
UGAGGUAAGAGCUCACCAAGGCAUCGAUCAGUAGCUGGUCUGAGAGGAUGAUCAGCCACACUGGGACUGAGACACGGCCCAGACUCCUACGGGAGGCAGCAGUGGGGAAUUUUCCGCAAUGGGCGAAAGCCUGACGGAGCAACGCCGCGUGAGGGAUGAAGGCCUCUGGGCUGUAAACCUCUUUGCUCAAGAGAAGAUCGACGUACUUGAGAUAGCACGCUGUCGUGCAGCAGCGCGUAUACCGGAGUGGCAAGCGUUAUCCCAAUUAUUGGGCGUAAGCGUCGCAGGCGGCCUUUCAAGUCUGCUGUAAAACGUGGAGCUUAACUCCAUCAUGGCAGUGGAAACUGUUGGGCUUGAGUGUGGUAGGGGCAGAGGGAAUUCCCGGUGUAGCGGUGAAAUGCGUAGAUAUCGGGAAGAACACCAGUGGCGAAGGCGCUCUGCUGGGCCAUAACUGACGCUCAUGGACGAAAGCCAGGGGAGCGAAAGGGAUUAGAUACCCCUGUAGUCCUGGCCGUAAACGAUGAACACUAGGUGUCGGGGGAAUCGACCCCCUCGGUGUCGUAGCCAACGCGUUAAGUGUUCCGCCUGGGGAGUACGCACGCAAGUGUGAAACUCAAAGGAAUUGACGGGGGCCCGCACAAGCGGUGGAGUAUGUGGUUUAAUUCGAUGCAACGCGAAGAACCUUACCAGGGUUUGACAUCCUGCGAAUCUCUUGAAAACGAGAGAGUGCCCUCGGGACGCAUGACAGGUGGUGCAUGGCUGUCGUCAGCUCGUGUGUGAAUGUGGUUAGUCCCGCACGAGCGCAACCCACGUCCCUAGUUGCCAGCAUUUAGUUGGGCACUCUAGAGAGACCGCCGGUGAUAAACCGGAGGAAGGUGUGGAUGACGUCAAGUCAUCAUGCCCCUUACAUCCUGGGCUACACACGUACUACAAUGCUACGGACAAAGAGCAGCAAGUUCGCGAGGACAAGCAAAUCUCAUAAACCGUGGCUCAGUUCAGAUCGUAGGCUGCAACUCGCCUACGUGAAGGAGGAAUCGCUAGUAAUCGCAGGUCAGCAUACUGCGGUGAAUACGUUCCCGGGCCUUGUACACACCGCCCGUCACACCAUGGAAGUUGGCCACGCCCGAAGCCGUUACUCCAACCCUUGUGGAGGAGGACGUCGAAGGUGGGGCUGAUGACUGGGGUGAAGUCGUAACAAGGUAACC